This 1289-nucleotide ribosomal RNA is filed under the name metagenome. Its description in RNAcentral is "bacterial SSU rRNA". It matches the Rfam family "Bacterial small subunit ribosomal RNA", at positions 209 to 1489 of the family's 1533-position model. The record is from RNAcentral.
GGCCUUGCGCUCUUUGAGCGGCCGAUGUCAGAUUAGCUAGUUGGUGAGGUAAAGGCUUACCAAGGCGACGAUCUGUAGCGGGUCUGAGAGGAUGAUCCGCCACACUGGAACUGAGACACGGUCCAGACUCCUACGGGAGGCAGCAGUGGGGAAUUUUGGACAAUGGGGGCAACCCUGAUCCAGCCAUGCCGCGUGAGUGAAGAAGGCCUUCGGGUUGUAAAGCUCUUUCGGCCGGGAAGAAAUCGCAUGGGCCAAUACCCUGUGUGGAUGACGGUACCGGAAUAAGAAGCACCGGCUAACUACGUGCCAGCAGCCGCGGUAAUACGUAGGGUGCGAGCGUUAAUCGGAAUUACUGGGCGUAAAGCGUGCGCAGGCGGUUUUGUAAGACAGGCGUGAAAUCCCCGGGCUUAACCUGGGAACUGCGUUUGUGACUGCAAGGCUAGAGUACGGCAGAGGGGGGUGGAAUUCCACGUGUAGCAGUGAAAUGCGUAGAGAUGUGGAGGAACACCAAUGGCGAAGGCAGCCCCCUGGGUCGAUACUGACGCUCAUGCACGAAAGCGUGGGUAGCAAACAGGAUUAGAUACCCUGGUAGUCCACGCCCUAAACUAUGUCAACUAGGUGUUGGGUGGGUAAAACCAUUUAGUACCGUAGCUAACGCGUGAAGUUGACCGCCUGGGGAGUACGGCCGCAAGGUUAAAACUCAAAGGAAUUGACGGGGACCCGCACAAGCGGUGGAUGAUGUGGAUUAAUUCGAUGCAACGCGAAAAACCUUACCUACCCUUGACAUGCCAGGAACUUGCCAGAGAUGGCUUGGUGCCCGAAAGGGAGCCUGGACACAGGUGCUGCAUGGCUGUCGUCAGCUCGUGUCGUGAGAUGUUGGGUUAAGUCCCGCAACGAGCGCAACCCUUGUCGUUAAUUGCCAUCAUUUAGUUGGGCACUUUAACGAGACUGCCGGUGACAAACCGGAGGAAGGUGGGGAUGACGUCAAGUCCUCAUGGCCCUUAUGGGUAGGGCUUCACACGUCAUACAAUGGUCGGUACAAAGGGUUGCCAAGCCGCGAGGCGGAGCCAAUCCCAGAAAGCCGAUCGUAGUCCGGAUUGCAGGCUGCAACUCGCCUGCAUGAAGUCGGAAUCGCUAGUAAUCGUGGAUCAGCAUGUCACGGUGAAUACGUUCCCGGGUCUUGUACACACCGCCCGUCACACCAUGGGAGCGGGUUCCGCCAGAAGUAGGUAGCCUAACCGCAAGGGGGGCGCUUACCACGGCGGGGGUCGUGACUGGGGUGAAGUCGU